This 230-nucleotide long non-coding RNA is filed under the name Elaeis guineensis (African oil palm). RNAcentral describes it as "long non-coding RNA (EGUI_LNC054964)". Lineage: Eukaryota; Viridiplantae; Streptophyta; Magnoliopsida; Arecales; Arecaceae. The record is from RNAcentral.
UAAUUUAAUCCUUUAAUCAUUCCUGCAUCCUGAAUAUAUUCAUGAGUAUGAAAUUAUGUCAAACUCAAAACAUAUAUUCAUAUCGAUUCUCAAUUAACCAAUGAUGACUCCGAUAAAGAAGUAUUAGAAAUUUUUUCUAAUCUCUUUCCUACUGUUGAUCAAAAGACUUUUCUCGAGUCAUCUAGAGAUGAGAAUACACAGGAUGCGAUCUUCUCUUACUAGGAGCCAUC